This 274-nucleotide ribosomal RNA is filed under the name uncultured bacterium. RNAcentral describes it as "partial 16S ribosomal RNA". It matches the Rfam family "Bacterial small subunit ribosomal RNA", at positions 523 to 796 of the family's 1533-position model. The record is from RNAcentral.
AUACGAAGGGGGCUAGCGUUGUUCGGAAUUACGGGGCGUAAAGCGCACGUAGGCGGAUAUUUAAGUCAGGGGUGAAAUCCCAGAGCUCAACUCUGGAACUGCCUUUGAUACUGGGUAUCUUGAGUAUGGAAGAGGUAAGUGGAAUUCCGAGUGUAGAGGUGAAAUUCGUAGAUAUUCGGAGGAACACCAGUGGCGAAGGCGGCUUACUGGUCCAUUACUGACGCUGAGGUGCGAAAGCGUGGGGAGCAAACAGGAUUAGAAACCCUAGUAGUCC